RNAcentral lists this ribosomal RNA (604 nucleotides) under Zanclea sp. 1 DM-2018. RNAcentral's name for it is "partial large subunit ribosomal RNA". It matches the Rfam family "Bacterial large subunit ribosomal RNA", at positions 1811 to 2602 of the family's 2925-position model. Lineage: Eukaryota; Metazoa; Cnidaria; Hydrozoa; Anthoathecata; Zancleidae. The record is from RNAcentral.
AAACAUAGCCCUUUCCAAUAUAAAAGGUGUUACCUGCCCAAUGGUUUAUAAAUAAAGAAAUAAAAAUACUAUAAAUACACUAAAAGGACGCGGUAUCCUGACCGUGAUAAUGUAGCAUAAUCAUUCGCCAUUUAAUUGAUGGAUAGUAUGAAUGGUAUAACGAAUAUAACACUAUCUUAAAAGAAAACCUAAUGAAAUUAGAUUAAUAGUAAAGAUACUAUUUUAAAUUGUAAGACGAGAAGACCCUAUAGAGCUUAACUAUAUCUCUUUUAAACCAGGUAAAUUAAUUUACCCAAUUAAAGAGUUAGGUAGUUUAGUUGGGGCGACUACUUUCUAAAUCCAACGAAAGUAAACAAUAUUAAUUAUUUAAUUUACUGUAUAACUUAUACGUUUAACAGUUAUUACUAUAGGUAAUAAUGACCCGUUAUUUAUGUAUAAUAACAAUAACGAUUAAUAAAUAAAAGCUACCUUAGGGAUAACAGGAUAAUCUUGUUCUAGAGAUCUUAUCGAAAACAAGGUUUGUCACCUCUAUGUUGAAUUGAGAUAUCCUGGAAGUGUAGAAGCUUCCAAAGGUAGGUCUGUUCGACCUAUAAAAUCUUACAUG